This 500-nucleotide ribosomal RNA is filed under the name uncultured bacterium. RNAcentral describes it as "partial 16S ribosomal RNA". It matches the Rfam family "Bacterial small subunit ribosomal RNA", at positions 355 to 842 of the family's 1533-position model. The record is from RNAcentral.
UGGGGAAUAUUGCACAAUGGGCGCAAGCCUGAUGCAGCCAUGCCGCGUGUGUGAAGAAGGCCUUCGGGUUGUAAAGCACUUUCAGCGAGGAGGAAGGUGGUGAACUUAAUACGUUCAUCAAUUGACGUUACUCGCAGAAGAAGCACCGGCUAACUCCGUGCCAGCAGCCGCGGUAAUACGGAGGGUGCAAGCGUUAAUCGGAAUUACUGGGCGUAAAGCGCACGCAGGCAGUUUGUUAAGUCAGAUGUGAAAUCCCCGGGCUCAACCUGGGAACUGCAUUUGAAACUGGCGAGCUAGAGUCUCGUAGAGGGGGGCUAGAAUUCCAGGUGUAGCGGUGAAAUGCGUAGAGAUCUGGAGGAAUACCGGUGGCGAAGGCGGCCCCCCUGGACGAAGACUGACGCUCAGGUGCGAAAGCGUGGGGCAGCAAACAGGAUUAGAUACCCUGGUAGUCCACGCUGUAAAACGAUGUCGAUUUGGAGGUUGUGCCCCUUGAGGCGUGG